GAUGAACGCUGGCGGCGUGCCUAAUACAUGCAAGUCGAGCGAACAGACGAGGAGCUUGCUCCUCUGACGUUAGCGGCGGACGGGUGAGUAACACGUGGAUAACCUACCUAUAAGACUGGGAUAACUUCGGGAAACCGGAGCUAAUACCGGAUAAUAUAUUGAACCGCAUGGUUCAAUAGUGAAAGACGGUUUUGCUGUCACUUAUAGAUGGAUCCGCGCCGCAUUAGCUAGUUGGUAAGGUAACGGCUUACCAAGGCAACGAUGCGUAGCCGACCUGAGAGGGUGAACGGCCACACUGGAACUGAGACGCGGGCCAGACUCCUACGGGAGGCAGCAGUAGGGAAUCUUCCGCAAUGGGCGAAAGCCUGACGGAGCAACGCCGCGUGAGUGAUGAAGGUCUUCGGAUCGUAAAACUCUGUUAUUAGGGAAGAACAAAUGUGUAAGUAACUAUGCACGUCUUGACGGUACCUAAUCAGAAAGCCACGGCUAACUACGUG
Molecule: ribosomal RNA, 497 nt
Filed under: uncultured bacterium
Lineage: Bacteria
Description: partial 16S ribosomal RNA
Rfam family: Bacterial small subunit ribosomal RNA
Source: RNAcentral